UACAGAGGUCCCGAGCGUUGUUCGGAUUCACUGGGCGUAAAGGGUGCGUAGGUGGCGAUGAAAGUUCGAUGUGAAAUCUCCGGGCUUAACCCGGAAAAGGCAUUGAAAACUAUGUUGCUUGAGGUUUGGAGGGGGGACUGGAAUUCUUGGUGUAGCAGUGAAAUGCGUAGAUAUCAAGAGGAACACCAGUGGCAAAGGCGGGUCCCUGGACAACACCUGACACUGAGGCACGAAAGCUAGGGGAGCAAACAGG
RNAcentral lists this ribosomal RNA (253 nucleotides) under uncultured bacterium. RNAcentral's name for it is "partial 16S ribosomal RNA". It matches the Rfam family "Bacterial small subunit ribosomal RNA", at positions 524 to 776 of the family's 1533-position model. The record is from RNAcentral.